Molecule: ribosomal RNA, 498 nt
Filed under: uncultured bacterium
Lineage: Bacteria
Description: partial 16S ribosomal RNA
Rfam family: Bacterial small subunit ribosomal RNA
Source: RNAcentral
AUUGAACGCUGGCGGCAUGCUUUACACAUGCAAGUCGAACGGUAACAGGCCGCAAGGUGCUGACGAGUGGCGAACGGGUGAGUAAUGCAUCGGAACGUGCCCAGUCGUGGGGGAUAACGCAGCGAAAGCUGUGCUAAUACCGCAUACGAUCUAUGGAUGAAAGCGGGGGACCGUACGGCCUCGCGCGAUUGGAGCGGCCGAUGGCAGAGUAGGUAGUUGGUGGGGUAAAGGCUCACCAAGCCAACGAUCUGUAGCUGGUCUGUGAGGACGACCAGCCACACUGGGACUGAGACGCGGCCCAGACUCCUACGGGAGGCAGCAGUGGGGAAUUUUGGACAAUGGGCGCAAGCCUGAUCCAGCAAUGCCGCGUGCAGGAAGAAGGCCUUCGGGUUGUAAACUGCUUUUGUACGGAACGAAACGGCGAGCUCUAAUACAGUUUGCUAAUGACGGUACCGUAAGAAUAAGCACCGGCUAACUACGUGCCAGCAGCCGCCGCCG